Molecule: ribosomal RNA, 450 nt
Filed under: uncultured bacterium
Lineage: Bacteria
Description: partial 16S ribosomal RNA
Rfam family: Bacterial small subunit ribosomal RNA
Source: RNAcentral
GUGGGGAAUCUUCCGCAAUGGACGAAAGUCUGACGGAGCAACGCCGCGUGAGUGAUGACGGCCUUCGGGUUGUAAAACUCUGUUAUACGGGACGAAUGGACGAGAGGCCAAUACCCUUUCGGAGUGACGGUACCGUAAGAGAAAGCCACGGCUAACUACGUGCCAGCAGCCGCGGUAAUAAGUAGGUGGCAAGCGUUGUCCGGAAUUAUGUGGCGUAAAGGGCGCGCAGGUGGUUUCUUAUGUCUGUCGUAAAAGUGCGGGGCUUAACCCCGUGAGGGGACGGAAACUGGGAGACUAUAGUAUCGGAGAGGAAAGCGGAAUUCCUAGUGUAGCGGUGAAAUGCGUAGAUAUUAGGAGGAACACCAGUGGCGAAAGCGGCUUUCUGGACGACAACUGACACUGAGGCGCGAAAGCCAGGGGAGCAAACGGGAUUAGAAACCCGGGUAGUCC